RNAcentral lists this long non-coding RNA (476 nucleotides) under Danio rerio (zebrafish). RNAcentral describes it as "uncharacterized LOC101882287, transcript variant 1 (LOC101882287)". The record is from RNAcentral. Lineage: Eukaryota; Metazoa; Chordata; Actinopteri; Cypriniformes; Danionidae.
UCCAGUUGUGCAGGAUCAUACUAUUGUGCAUGGUUUUCCCAGUAAAGGGUUGUGGCAGCAAGAGCUGUAAAACAGAGUAAUCGGCGGCUUAUUCCAUCGAUAAAGCAGAGAAUAAGCCAGCUAGUGGUGACAGUGGCGAGGAAAAAAUACUUCACCAACUGAUGAAGUGAAGAGAAACUUGUCUCUCUUGGGCACGACCAUUAUUCAUGUCCAUACGUUCUGUGUGAAGCUGCAGUCUAUACACCAGGCGCUGGAGAAGCUGGACGUUCAUCGUGGAGAAGCUGCAGGAAACAGUCUCAUGCACUCCAUUUCUCCAUGAUGACCACAGCAUAAGCUCGGGAUACGGCCUGGUCCAGGAUUAUGGAUACCUUGGGAUCAUCUUCUCACAGGUCUUGGAUCGCAUCAAUGGCACUGCAGAAUCUCGGGAAUGUGUAUCCUCAGGUGGAAAUAAAAAAUAAAGAAAAUGAUUAGCUUUG